GACGAACGCUGGCGGCGCGCCUAACACAUGCAAGUAGAACGAGCGAGAGGGAGCUUGCUUUCUCGAGCGAGUGGCGAACGGGUGAGUAACGCGUGAGGAACCUGCCUCAAAGAGGGGGACAACAGUUGGAAACGACUGCUAAUACCGCAUAAGCCCACGGUGCCGCAUGGCACAGAGGGAAAAGGAGCAAUCCGCUUUGAGAUGGCCUCGCGUCCGAUUAGCUAGUUGGUGAGGUAAUGGCCCACCAAGGCGACGAUCGGUAGCCGGACUGAGAGGUUGAACGGCCACAUUGGGACUGAGACACGGCCCAGACUCCUACGGGAGGCAGCAGUGGGGAAUAUUGCACAAUGGGGGAAACCCUGAUGCAGCGACGCCGCGUGGAGGAAGAAGGUCUUCGGAUUGUAAACUCCUGUUGUUGGGGAAGAUAAUGACGGUACCCAACAAGGAAGUGACGGCUAACUACGUG
This 466-nucleotide ribosomal RNA is filed under the name uncultured bacterium. Its description in RNAcentral is "partial 16S ribosomal RNA". It matches the Rfam family "Bacterial small subunit ribosomal RNA", at positions 28 to 507 of the family's 1533-position model. The record is from RNAcentral.